UGUAGGCUGCAACUCGCCUACAUGAAGUCGGAAUCGCUAGUAAUCGCGGAUCAGCAUGCCGCGGUGAAUACGUUCCCGGCCUUGUACACACCGCCCGUCACACCAUGAGAGUUUGUAACACCCAAAGCCGGUGGGGUAACCUUUUGGAGCCAGCCGUCUAAGGUGGGACAGAUGAUUGGGGUGAAGUCGUAACAAGGUACC
RNAcentral lists this ribosomal RNA (201 nucleotides) under uncultured bacterium. Its description in RNAcentral is "partial 16S ribosomal RNA". It matches the Rfam family "Bacterial small subunit ribosomal RNA", at positions 1299 to 1500 of the family's 1533-position model. The record is from RNAcentral.